GGUUGUCAUAGCGACCAUUUUACGUUUACUGGUUUGUAGUGUCUAACCAGGGGGCCUGGCGACUGCCGGGGCCGCGCUGCCCGCAUUCUCCGUCGGCUUCCUGCGGCCGAAAGGCCCGAGCAGGCCGGGGAGUCUGGCCUAGGCAUCCGCGUCGCCCGGUACGGGCGGGAUGGCUGCGGAAGAAGAGGACGAGGUGGAAUGGGUGGUGGAGAGCAUCGCUGGGUUCCUGCGGGGCCCGGAUUGGUCCAUCCCCAUCUUGGACUUUGUAGAGCAGAAAUGCGAAGUUUUUGAUGAUGAAGAAGAAAGCAAAUUGACCUAUACAGAAAUUCAUCAGGAGUACAAAGAGCUAGUUGAAAAGCUGUUAGAAAGUUACCUUAAAGAAAUUGGAAUUAAUGAAGAUCAGUUUCAAGAAGCAUGCACCUCCCCUCUGGCAAAGACACGUACAUCACAGGCCAUUUUGCAGCCCGUGUUGGCAGCGGAGGAUUUUACUAUCUUUAAAGCAAUGAUGGUCCAGAAGAACAUUGAGAUGCAGCUUCAAGCCAUCCGAAUAAUCCAGGAGAGGAAUGGUGUGUUACCCGACUGCUUAACUGAUGGCGCCGAUGUAGUCAGUGAUCUUGAACAGGAAGAGAUGAAAAUCCUGAGGGAGGUCCUCAGAAAAUCAAAAGAAGAAUAUGACCAGGAGGAAGAAAGGAAACGAAAAAAGCAGUCAUCAGAGGCUAAAAUGGAAGAACCACCAGUGUAUACUACUGAAGCUGCAAAACUGAGUAAUUCCCAAGGGGAUGGUGAACAUUUUGUACAGCCACCCUCAGAAGUUAAAGUGCAUUUUGCUAAUCAGUCAGUACAACCCUUGGCAAGAAAGAUGGAGCUGUUGCCUGAAACUUCCUCCCUCCCACAAAAAGGUCUGAAGAUUCCUGGUUUAGAACAUUCAAGCAUGGAAGGACCAAUAGCAAAUUUGUCAGCACUUGGAACAGAAGAGUUACGGCAACGAGAGCAUUAUCUCAAGCAGAAGAGAGAUAAACUGAUGUCCAUGAGAAAGGACAUGAGAGCAAAACAGAUCCAGAAUACUGAGCAAAAAGGAAAGCCUACCAGGGAGGUGGAGGAAAUGACAGAGAAGCCAGAAAUGACAGCAGAGGAGAAACAAACAUUACUAAAGAGGCGAUUGCUUGCAGAGAAACUUAAAGAAGAAGUUAUUAAUAAGUAAUAUGAAGAGUUAGCGAAACAGAAGUCCAAGUUUUCUUAAAAAUAAAUUAUUUAAUCCUUAAACAAAGACUGUUAGUUUUAAGCAAAUACCUGCUUUUCUAAAUGCAAUUAUAAACUCAUUAUUAUUAUUUUAAACAGGUAAAGGGUAAGAGGGAAGGCAGUUUAACAGAAAUUCCUGCAUAGAGCCAGGUUAUGGUGGUAUGUGCCUAUAAUCCUAGCACCCAGGACGCUGAACAGGAGGGUCAGGAGUUCAAGGUCAUUCUCAGUAACAAAGCAAACUGGAGGCCAGCCUAGGUUACAUGAACCUAUCCUAACCAAAAUAAACAAAUAAAUAAAUAAAAAGAAUUUGAAUGUUUUCUCUUCAAAAGGGGCUACAGAAAGAAAUUAGUUGAUAGUGCAUGCUUUCAUUCGUCCUUACUAGACACUGUUUGUGCUAAGCAUGAUACACAUAGUCGUCAACCAGACUGACAGACAGGGUUCUUGCUUUCAUGGGGCUAUCGAAGGCCCAAAGAGCAGUAUUAAAAGGGUAAAGUGCAGUGAUAACAUGGCAGGCUGGCUGUGCUGCCUUGGGCAAGUAAGCUGUCAACUGAUCAGGUGUUUACAGAAAAGAGGGUAUACAGUAAUUUAGAAACACAUGCCUUGAAGCUGAACCAGAACAUGUGUGAAUAGGAGGGCUAGCAUAUGAAAGGUGACAGACAGCAGGUUAGAGUAAUGUGGAAAGCCUUGUGGGGAAUUGGAAACUUCCAUUUUUAAAGGUGUGGCUGCUGCAGCAAGACAGGUGAACUACUGUGGUUUUAGGUUUACCCAGUAUGAUGCAAUCCAAAGGCAGUAUCUUGGACAAAGGUAAGAGAGCUUUAUAUUUAAAGGACAAACAAGCCUUGUAAAAUAAAUGUGGGAGAAUUAUAACCUUUUCUAUAAAUGUUGCAAUGAAAACAGACAAAAGGAUCAACUGACGGACUAAACCUGUUGAGGAAAAUGCUACUUACCAUUUGGUCUUUCUAAGGCCCUGGAAAAAAUUCUAGUCUCUUUGCUUAAAGGUAAUCAGAAUGAUCUUGCUUUCCAAAACUUAGUUACAAUUUAUACCCACCUUUUUCUAGUUACUGAACAUUCUUUUUUUUUUUUUAAACAGACAUUUUGUAUUUAUAUGGGCAUGCAUAUGCCAUUGUGCCUGUGGAGGUCAGGGGGCAAUUUGUACUGUGUUGAGUUCCAGGGAUCAAACAGGCUUGGCAGCAAAUUCCUUUACCCACUUAGCAAUCUUGCUGGCCUCAACUGGGGUUUUUCUGAAAUUUCAUCUUAUCUGCUUGAAUCUAAAAUUAUACUUUAAGCUCCAACCUUCAAACUUCAGAAAAACCAGUGAUGAAAACACAUCAGUUUCACACAACUUUUUAUUAAAAAUAGCUUUUUAUUAGGUACAUGUUUACAGGUAUUUUUAGGACCUAAGGCAUACACAUGUGUGCUCUGACUUGAACUGAGUGGACAUAAUGCACCCCAGCCUGCAUCAGGGUCGUCACUUAGGACAGAGGCUAAUGUGGAAUCUUCCUAGUUGUGCCUUCCAAGGAUCCAUUCAUCUUGAAGAGACUGUGGCCUGCUGUUGCAUAUGCCAUGCUAGCUGAUCUGAAGCUUGUGGGGAUUUUCAUGGCUCCUCCCAUCUUGCAGUGGGAAUGCUGGAAUAACCAAGGGCACCUUUUAUGAGUCCCUGGGAUUCUGAAGCUGGAUCAUCUUCAUGCUUUCACAGCAAGCCUUUGCUCAUGGAUCAUCUUUUCUGGGGAUUCUCAUGGCUCCUCCCAUUGCAGUGGGAAUGCUGGCAUAACAAAGGCACCUUGUGUGGGUUCCUGGGAUUCUGAACCCAGACCUUCUUUCUCACAGCAAGCGCUUUACCUAUGAACCAUCCCUUCAGCUCUUUGCUGUGCUUUUUUUAUUUGUCUCAGUAAUGAUGCCAAACAUUUUCUCAUGUGCUUAUUUAGGUUAUUUGUAUAUUUAUUUCCUUUGGAGAAAUGUCUGUGUAUGUCCUUUGGAGUUUGAUUACUGGUAAAAGUCCUUGAUAUGCUCUGGAUCCAACUUCUUAUAGGCUUUGCAACUCAUGUGGUGGUCUAUCCUUUUUACUUAAUACCAGUGUAAUUUCUGAUCAUGAUGCCAUCUUUUUUUCUUUUGUCAUAUAUGCUUUGGGUAUUAUAUAUAACUACCUAAUUUAAGGUCAUGGCUGUUUAUUCCUGUUUUCUGAGAUCUCUGUAUUUAUGUUUAGGUCUUUUAAGUUUGUAUUAAGUGAGUUAGGAGUUGAGUAUCUUUCUUGCAUGUGGUUAACCAAUAUGUAGUAUUUGUUGAAAAGAAUUUUUCUUUUUUCUAAUAAAAUUUAUUUAUUUUUGUUAUUUUGAGACAGGGUUUCUCUGUGUAACAGCCAGCCCUAGCUGUCCUGGAACUUGCUUUGUAAACUAGGCUGGCCUCAAACUCAGGGAUCUGCCUGCCUUUGCCUCCUAAGUGCUGGGGUUAAAGGCAUAAACCACCACGCCUGGUGAUUUAUUUUUAUUUUCUGUGCAUUGGUGUUUUGCCUGCAUGUUUAUCUGUGUGAAGGUGUCAGAUACCCUGGAAUUGGAGUUACAGUCAGUUGUGAGCUGACAUAUGGGUACUAGAAAUUGACCCUGGGUCCUAUUUUUAACUGCUGAGCCCUCCAGCCCUGAAAACAAUUUUUCUUAUUGAACUAUCUCACACCUUUUUUAAAACCUGCCAUUCUUCCUCCUCUGUAGUACUCCCCACCUCACCUUACCCCUGCCCCAAUUCCUGAGACCUUCAUGACUCAUGAUACUUCUGCCUGGCAGCCUCCUAAAUAGCUUGGACUGCAGAGGCAGGUAAUCAUAGCUUCUAGGGUGUUUUCUUGUUUUGAGACGAGCUUGUCAUGCAGAUGGGAACUCAGCAUACAGCACACACUAUCUUCAAAGCUGGAACAUGGUUGCCACAGAUUCCCAACUGCUGGGAUUACAGGCAUGUGCAACCAUGCCUGGUUAGUUUUUGUUUUGUUUUGUUUAUAUGAAAGAAAAUCCAAUAACCACCAGGCACAUAAGGAGUAAAGGAUCAAAAAAAAAAAAAAAUAACUAAAUUAACUGUAAAAGAGGAUGAUCUUUUUUUCUCCCUGCAAAGGAGUAAAUUAUAACCAAUUAUAGUUUGAAGUAUACAAGCACAUUUUACCAUAUAAUAAGAAAUUAUACAGUAAUAGUUUUGGUUGUUUCAGGAAAUGCACUAAUACCUUACAAUCAUGGUUAAAUAAUAGUAGUGACAGCAACAUUCUGUCUUGUUCCUGAUUAAGUGGGAAUAUCCCUAAUAUUUCCUAAGUACAAAACUAACUUUUGGUGUUAGACAGUAUGUUAAGAAAUUAUCCAUUUGUUCCUAUUUUAUUGAGUAUUUGCACUUGGAAAUAGGGUAAUGCAAAUUCUAUUGCAGACAAAUGUACAAUCAGAAAUGAUAUAUGUAAAGUUCACUUUGCUAUGAUGCUUAUAACUGCAAGAAACUGUGGUAAUUCUCAGUAACAGGGGUUAGUUAUUCAUCUUUUUAAAUUCUACCCGCAGUCUUUUUAAACAUUCUGACUUGGAAAGCUUACUAAAAGUAAUAUAUAGGGUGUCCUUCUUUAUUCUAUAGCAGAAGUAGUGUUUGUUUUAGCAUCUACCAAUAGUUUCUCAGUCUGGUUUUGUUGUUUUGAGACAGGAUUUUGCAAUAGUAUCCCAGGUUAGAUUCCAACUCAGAGCUUUUUAUACCUUGGCCUCCAGAGUGCUUGACUUAUAGGCAUGCUUCACUAUACCUGCUUUCAACUGAUUCUGUAAACAUUCUUUCCCAUAGAAAUGGGAUGUUUUAUACUAAACAAUGGAAAUACAUUGUUUUUAUAGCAUUCAUAUUAAUUUCACUAGUAGCUGAUACCUUUGCAGCCUUCAACAGUAGCAAUUAACACCGAUUCUAAAACUAGAGGCCACUACUGAUGAAGAAUCAGCUACUAUUUAGAAAUAUGGCCAUAAUUUGUUAUAAGUUUGUGAACUAAUUAAAUUUACUUCUGUAUGCAUCAAUUUUUGGUGUGAAACUCUA
This is an RNA transcript of Peromyscus californicus insignis, 5265 nucleotides long. It is a transcript of the gene named cilia and flagella associated protein 36, with no coding region annotated. NCBI's taxonomy places the organism in Eukaryota, Metazoa, Chordata, Mammalia, Rodentia, Cricetidae. The record is from RefSeq and is a predicted model, not a curated record. The transcript has 11 exons.